Molecule: ribosomal RNA, 400 nt
Filed under: uncultured bacterium
Lineage: Bacteria
Description: bacterial SSU rRNA
Rfam family: Bacterial small subunit ribosomal RNA
Source: RNAcentral
GAAUAUUGCACAAUGGGGGAAACCCUGAUGCAGCGACGCCGCGUGAGUGAAGAAGUAUUUCGGUAUGUAAAGCUCUAUCAGCAGGGAAGAAAAUGACGGUACCUGACUAAGAAGCCCCGGCUAACUACGUGCCAGCAGCCGCGGUAAUACGUAGGGGGCAAGCGUUAUCCGGAUUUACUGGGUGUAAAGGGAGCGUAGGUGGUUCGGUAAGUCAGAUGUGAAAGCCCGGGGCUCAACCCCGGGAUUGCAUUUGAAACUAUCGUACUAGAGUGCAGGAGAGGUAAGUGGAAUUCCUAGUGUAGCGGUGAAAUGCGUAGAUAUUAGGAGGAACACCAGUGGCGAAGGCGGCUUACUGGACUGUAACUGACACUGAGGCUCGAAAGCGUGGGGAGCAAACAGG